GAUCCUGGCUCAGGAUGAACGCUGGCGGCGUGCCUAACACAUGCAAGUCGAGCGGAGAUAUAUCGGAGAUUCUUCGGAUGAUCUUUAUAUCUUAGCGGCGGAUGGGUGAGUAACACGUGGGUAACCUGCCCUGCACUGGGGAAUAACAGUUGGAAACGACUGUUAAUACCGCAUAUGCGCACGAGGUCGCAUGACCUUGGGCGGAAAGAUUUAUCGGUGCAGGAUGGGCCCGCGUCGGAUUAACUAGUUGGUGAGGUAAUGGCCCACCAAGGUGAUGAUCCAUAGCCGACCUGAGAGGGUGACCGGCCACAUUGGGACUGAGACACGGCCCAAACUCCUACGGGAGGCAGCAGUGGGGGAUAUUGCACAAUGGGCGCAAGCCUGAUGCAGCGACGCCGCGUGAAGGAAGACGUAUUUCGGUAUGUAAACUUCUAUCAGCGGGGAAGAAGAUGACGGUACCCGACUAAGAAGCCCCGGCUAAUUACGUGCCAGCCGCCGC
This 499-nucleotide ribosomal RNA is filed under the name uncultured bacterium. Its description in RNAcentral is "bacterial SSU rRNA". It matches the Rfam family "Bacterial small subunit ribosomal RNA", at positions 15 to 518 of the family's 1533-position model. The record is from RNAcentral.